Molecule: ribosomal RNA, 490 nt
Filed under: uncultured bacterium
Lineage: Bacteria
Description: partial 16S ribosomal RNA
Rfam family: Bacterial small subunit ribosomal RNA
Source: RNAcentral
GAUGAACGCUAGCUACAGGCUUAACACAUGCAAGUCGAGGGGAAACGCUGAGAGAGCUUGCUCUCUUAGGCGUCGACCGGCGCACGGGUGAGUAACGCGUAUCCAACCUACCCAUUACAGGGGGAUAACCUUGCGAAAGUAAGACUAAUACCCCAUGGCCUUUUAUGGUGGCAUCAUUAUAGGAUUAAAGAUUUAUUGGUAAUGGAUGGGGAUGCGUCUGAUUAGCUUGUUGGCGGGGUAACGGCCCACCAAGGCAACGAUCAGUAGGGGUUCUGAGAGGAAGCUCCCCCACAUUGGAGCUGAGACACAGUCCAAACUCCUACGGGAGGCAGCAGUGAGGAAUAUUAGUGGAUGGGCGAGAGCUUGAACCAGCCAAGUAGCGUGCAGGAGGACUGCCCUAUGGGUUGUAAACUGCUUUUAUAGAAGAAUAAAGUGAGCUACGUGUAGUUUAUUGCAUGUACCCUAUGAAUAAGGACCGGCUAAUUCCGUG